Long non-coding RNA from Gadus morhua (Atlantic cod), 1605 nucleotides. Lineage: Eukaryota; Metazoa; Chordata; Actinopteri; Gadiformes; Gadidae. The record is from Ensembl.
AUGAAACGCUGGGAACGCAGUGCUUCUUCUCACUCCAGAGGAAAUCAGGGGCUCUCUUCUCUCAGUUAUUGUCCAAGGAAUAAAAUGGCUCGUUCAAAACUGCGAGCGAGGGAACCCUGGGUGCAGGCGGCCCUGGGCUUCGCGCUGGGGGCCGUGGCGGGCUGCGCGCUGGGAGCCACGGAGGAUCCGGUGGACCGGACCAUCGCGGUGAUGACCUCGGAGGACUUCUUGAAGCCCGUGAUGGACGAGGCUAGGACUGUGGGGCCCCUUGGCCUCGGCACCCUCUUGGGAGCCACGGCGUUGACCGCCUCCAUGAGCUCCGUGGUGGCCGGCGUGAUCCUCGCCGCCGCCACAGCCUCCGUGUUCCUGUCCAAGGGAAGCUGCUCCGUGACGAACGCCGAGUCCGUCGGCCUGUGGGUGUGGUCCGGAGUGGUUGGGGCGGCGGGGGCCACGCUCAGCGGGGCCACGCUCGGCAUGGCCAUCGAGUACAUCGUGACGAACGUGGGCAUGGUGGGACUCCUGAUCGCCCUGAGCGUGUUCACGGUGCUGAAGCCACCUCUGCACUUCCUGUUCAAUGUGAUCUGGCAGCAGCGGGAGGUGUGCUGCGGUCUGGGGACGGCGGCGUUGGCCCGGGAGAGGGACGAACGAGAGAGGGAGCUCAAAGAAGCGGAGCAGAGGGAGAGGGUGACGGUGAAGGUGGAGCAGAGGACCCAGGCGAUUGAGAAAGGCGUGAGGGCCAGGGAGAGGGAGCGCAUGGCCAGUAAGGAGGAGGAGCUCCUGCAGAGUGAAAAGAUGGAGAGAGAGAGGAUAGAGAGAGAGGAGACAGAGAUGGAACACAGAACCAUCCAAGACUGGAUCGACAGCGUCGUGGUUAAAUACGUGGACUUCAUCGCGUUCUCCGGAUUACCCAUGACCCUCAUCGCCAUCGUUACAUCGGUGUUUGGCAUGAAUGGCUACGGCGCUCACCAGUCUGUCCUAAUAGUGCUUUUAUGUUUGGUGGUCGUCCUCUCCUACUCAAUGAUGAAGGUGUCCAGAUUUAAGUUAUGGAUGCUGGCGGGAUGCAUGGGAAUGCUCGCCACCUUCGUCGUGGCUAUGCUCACUUUACAUGCAGAACAAGAGGUCCUCCUUGCCAACAGCAGGUUGCGAGCGGUGGGUAAGAACCUCUCCAGGGAAAGCCUCACCCCUACUAUGAACCAAAAGGCCUCCCUCGAGGCCCUGAACACAAGCUUCUUCGUGGCCAAGCUGUGCCAGUUAGCAUUAGGCGCGGCGGUCAGUGGGCCGUUGCUGCGGUGGGGGGCCGGAGAGGCCAAAAUCAUCGUAGGGGCGGCGGGAUUGGCGGGAACUCUUAUUGCUGUGGUGGAGGUCGUAACCCCUGUUUUGGGGCAAGGGGGGAGGGCCGGAGCUCUGCUGGGGUCCGUGGGGGCAGCGGGAGUGUCCGUAGGGGCCGCGGCAGCCAUGGCCGGGGCCUGGUCAUCCUGGGCGGGGACGUCAGGAACCAUAUUUGGACUGAUGUUGGGAGCACUUAUUAUUGGGAAAUGGCACAUUGUAAACAUUGGACUGCAGCUGCCUGUAGCCUACGUCUUUGCCAUGACUAAUCCAUACUAA